UACAUAGAAAGGAAAGAUCUAAGGAAUUAAUUCAUUAAACUACCAGAGCAACCAGUGGAAACUGAACAGGACUUCUGCACAGCUGCCAUCAGGGCAGCAGCAACGCACCACGAUCCCGGGGCGCACUUCAGUCCACGCAGCUGAACUAGUGUGUGCCUGACACUGACCGUGCCCCGGCUGAUGGGAAGCAGCUGAAUCCUGCUGACCCUUCAGCCCACGACUGCUCCACUGACACAGCCCGCCGAGCAGUAACAGUGGUUCCUUUAGCACAGGCUGGCUGCCUGCAGACUGUGAAACCAAACUGGGCUCCCAGAGCGUGCAUCAGACAGCCACAGCUGUCGCGCUGAGCUAGCUGCACCCCUCUAUGUAACUACAAGGAACUGCUGGACUUUUCCCCGAUCUCUUAAAUGAUUUUCUUGCUACAGUUAAGAGAUGAAGGCAGAGAAAAAGAACAAAUUCCACUUUUCACAGCUGACCAUUCAGAUUGCUGCGCUCUCUGUACCGGCGAGGGGAUGCGCUGGCAGUGAGCACAACGCACGGCGGAGCUCAGGAGGCGACAUCCUUAACCGGGGCACGCUGCACAGCGCCGACAGAGGGAAGGGGAGGGAAAGCCAGCGACCCAGCGAUGCCCACCGCCGGGCCACCCAGGUGCGGGCUGAUGGAGCGCUGGGCCUAGCAGCCCCUCCCGGCACCUGUGCUGGGACGCCCUAUAAAAGGCAACCAGGGAAAGCCAGCCCCUUCCAUGCCCUCACGGCGCGUGGUGCUUCCUCCUCUCGCUGAGCCAGGCAUAGAUGGAUGUGUAAAUCAUCCCUACUCUGACCUAAUGAAGAAGCAAUUGCUUUCUUUUUUUUUUUUCCCCUAUACUGGCAGAAGAUACAGAUGAAGCAGGUGCCCCAAGCUGCAAGCCUGAGCACAAGUGAAUAUGGUGUCUGUGAAAGGUCCUGGUCUGACAGCCCUGGAAAAUGAGCCCCGUGUAAGCCCUCAGAGAGGCAAAAGAUGCAAGCUACAGGCUGUUCUUCUCAUCCGGUUUCAAUGAUGGAAGAGGAAAUAGAGUUUAUACAAAACCUGCCCAGCCCCCCAGAAACAUCUUGCUUUGUUUAUGUUUCAAGCUAAGCCUGCAACUCUUGCUGUUUGGAAGAGCUAUUCAGGCAUUUCUCCAUCUGACUGACUUUACAUCUACUCCUUGAUCUCAUGGAGAAAUCUGGUUUUUAGCUCCUGCUUGUGACAUUCUGAUUUCCUCUUUCUCGCUCUGCUCUCCUGCGUUUGAAAGAUCCAUGUAUAACAUGAUUAUGCAACCAUGCAAAUGUACACAGUUCUUUCAGUUUACUGCAAACCACCCUUCAGGUCUCCCGGUAUGAAAAUAAAAUUGUCAGUGAGAGACACUGUGGAGUGUAGUGGGAAGGGUGUUUCACAGGGCUGGGCUUAAAGGUCUGAAGGCAGUAUUAGAGAUGGAAGCAGACUAUUUGCAGUAAACCAGUGUGCCAGUAUGUAUCCACAGGAACCAGCAGCAGUUAAUAGGCUCAGACAGUUCAGCUCUGAAUCCUCUCCACCUAGGAGAUGGCAGAUACGUGCCUGCCUGGCAGUUUCCUCGGUUGGAGGUCUUUCCCCCACCCCAGAGCUGCAGGGACAUUAGCAGAGUGGCUCUCCCCGGAGGCCAGUUUGCACCCUCCCUCUGUAAACACAUGGUGGCUGCUUCGCUCUGUACCCACCCUGGGAUGUAGUCAGCUUCGUGCCUGGUGUUUGGGGCAAGUGUUCCAGCACCUAGCCCAGGGCGGUUCUUGCCCUGUGGGAUCAGCUGGCCUCUUAUGUUACUUGUGUUGCCUGGAGGAAGUCAUGGAAAUGUGAUCCUUCGGGGGCUGCCUUUACCCAACCUAAUCACAGGGAUAAUGUGUAAUACGCUGAUGUAUGAUAAAAGCUCUAAACUGGGGGGCGAUAGCAGAAUAUAACAUGUUCUUGCUUUUCUUCCAUUCCGUUCAGUUUCCACUACCUUCAGGGUUUAAAAAAAAAAAUACAGCACAACCACUUCCUGUGGUUGGUUGAUUCAGGAUAGCUUGGCCACCCCCUUGUUAUGCCUGUAGAUGAAGACGCUCCUCUCCACUGCUGCAGGAGCCAGAGCUGUUCAGAUGUUGUGGCCUUUGCCGUGUCCAUGGGACAAACUUAUGGAUUGCCCUUGUUCUGCCCAUGCUGUGAGCAGAGGUUCGGGGCAGAUUCACAUUUGCCGCUGAUAUGGGCUGCGAGCUGGUGUCCAUCUGAUAGCGAUAGAACAAG
Molecule: long non-coding RNA, 2268 nt
Organism: Numida meleagris (helmeted guineafowl)
Lineage: Eukaryota; Metazoa; Chordata; Aves; Galliformes; Numididae
Exons: 3
Source: RefSeq, a predicted model, not a curated record